This 820-nucleotide ribosomal RNA is filed under the name uncultured bacterium. RNAcentral's name for it is "bacterial SSU rRNA". It matches the Rfam family "Bacterial small subunit ribosomal RNA", at positions 636 to 1455 of the family's 1533-position model. The record is from RNAcentral.
UNUGACUUGAGUGCAGAAGGGGAGAGUGGAAUUCCAUGUGUAGCGGUGAAAUGCGUAGAUAUAUGGAGGAACACCAGUGGCGAAAGCGGCUCUCUGGUCUGUCACUGACGCUGAGGCUCGAAAGCGUGGGUAGCGAACAGGAUUAGAUACCCUGGUAGUCCACGCCGUAAACGAUGAGUGCUAGGUGUUAGGCCCUUUCCGGGGCUUAGUGCCGGAGCUAACGCAAUAAGCACUCCGCCUGGGGAGUACGACCGCAAGGUUGAAACUCAAAGGAAUUGACGGGGGCCCGCACAAGCGGUGGAGCAUGUGGUUUAAUUCGAAGCAACGCGAAGAACCUUACCAGGUCUUGACAUCCCGAUGCUAUUCUUAGAGAUAGGAAGUUACUUCGGUACAUCGGAGACAGGUGGUGCAUGGUUGUCGUCAGCUCGUGUCGUGAGAUGUUGGGUUAAGUCCCGCGACGAGCGCAACCCUUAUUGUUAGUUGCCAUCAUUAAGUUGGGCACUCUAGCGAGACUGCCGGUAAUAAACCGGAGGAAGGUGGGGAUGACGUCAAAUCAUCAUGCCCCUUAUGACCUGGGCUACACACGUGCUACAAUGGUCGGUACAACGAGUUGCGAGCCGGUGACGGCAAGCUAAUCUCUGAAAGCCGAUCUCAGUUCGGAUUGGAGGCUGCAACUCGCCUCCAUGAAGUCGGAAUCGCUAGUAAUCGCGGAUCAGCACGCCGCGGUGAAUACGUUCCCGGGCCUUGUACACACCGCCCGUCACACCACGAGAGUUUGUAACACCCGAAGUCGGUGAGGUAACCUUUUAGGGGCCAGCCG